Molecule: ribosomal RNA, 253 nt
Filed under: uncultured bacterium
Lineage: Bacteria
Description: partial 16S ribosomal RNA
Rfam family: Bacterial small subunit ribosomal RNA
Source: RNAcentral
UACAGAGGGUGCAAGCGUUAAUCGGAAUUACUGGGCGUAAAGGGCGCGUAGGCGGGCCAUUAAGUUAGAUGUGAAAUCCCUGGGCUUAACCUAGGAACUGCAACUAAUACUGAUAGUCUAGAGUGCAGUAGAGGAUAGUGGAAUUUCCGGUGUAGCGGUGAAAUGCGUAGAUAUCGGAAGGAACACCAGUGGCGAAGGCGGCUAUCUGGACUGACACUGACGCUGAGGCGCGAAAGCGUGGGGAGCAAACAGG